AGCUUGGGUAAUGUGAGCAACUUGGUUCUUUUUAAAAAAUCUAUGCAGAUAGUUCAGUGUAAUUAGGGUUGGGAGAGUCUCUUUCUACUGUGCACCCUAUGCAAACAUUCCAGAUUGUUUUUGGAAAGAAACUGAAAUCUCAGAUAAAGUUGGUAGAAUUGUUGUGCUAAAGCUCAACAUUGUUUUACCUGCCCCCCCCCUGAGCUGGUGGUAAUUUUGCCAGUGUAUUCAUUCAGAGUGGGGUGGGGCCAUUGCUGGGCAGGUUUGGGAAUUGCACUGGGAGUAUAUUUGCUUUGAUGCUCUGAGCAGGACUCUUUUACAACCAGACCUUGAAACUGUGAGAAAGACAGCUGUGUGGCCGAGGUGGUUCAUCAAGGAAAACACCAGUCACUGAGCUAUAUACAGGUAUGACCCUAGAAAUGUUACUGUCCAGCUGAUCAUGUCUGCCAAUAAUCUGGAGAACUGAAUCAAGUGCCUCAUUAUUCUUGUAUCUUAAGGCAGGACAGCUAGGGGGGAGGGAAGCAUUUGGUUGUGAAAGGAUUUAAACUUUCUGCUCCUGCAUCUUCAGCAGUCUGACAUAGGAAAAAUUCCAGUUCAUGUGCUACAGCUCCCUCAGAGAACAGAGCUGGAGGUGGAAACUGAAGUCUGAAGAAAGCACAGGCCAUGCCAGACUCUUCCAGAGCACAUGCUGAACUUAGCCUACUGAAGACUGUGGAAUAACAUCAAGUUUCUUUCUCAGAGGAAAGGUGUAGAAGGAAGACAGAGGAGCCCAAGGAAAUUAAGCCUCUUAAAUUGAGUGUGUAAAUGCCAAACCUGAGCUUUGGAUGUCACUGUUCAUGCUGAUGAUUUGAUGAGGAGAGAGUAUUUUUCUGGUCAACUCCAAUAUUGAGAAAAGAGUAUGAAGGUUUUUAGCUCUUACUGGAGCUAAUUUUUCUAGCUUCUCCUAAACAAUUUCCUAGAACUAUUUAAUGCCACAUUUUCAUAGAUUUGGUGAUUUUUCCACAGGGUGCAGACAUGAAUAAGUUAAUUUAAUGAAGAUGUAGAUUUUAGUUUUUCCUUUAUCCCCUUACAUGCAAAGUCACAUGUAUUUACUGCUAUGGGCAGGUCAGAAGCAGACAAAAAUGUUCUCAUUUGUAAAAGUUCAUUGAAGGCUUACCUAACAUAAAGUCCCACUUCUGAGCUGAAGCUGAACUAUAUUUGCCAUCAUGCAGAAAAAGGUAAGUUUAAAUGGGGUAGCUGAGAUGAGUUUAAACCUGACUUAGCUAGAAAACAGUUCCUUUUUGGUAUUUUCUCACAGUCUCCAUCCUUUUUCUGUUCCUGCCCAUCCAGGGAAAACUUCCUAUGAUGAAAAAAAAAAAAAAUCUUUAAAAAUAAGGGAUAAGAUGCACUUCAGAAAACCCAUUUAACUGCUGGGUUUGUUCUUUCCUGCUCAAUUGGCUGCCCUGUUGGCUGUUCUGGGACAGGCAGGUGGCACUUGCCCUGGUUUUGACUAAAAAUUUCCAUUUGGGUCAAAGAAACCUUUCUGAUGAAAACUUAGGUGAAAUCAGGAUGUCUCAGCAAAGCUUUGCUUUCUAUAAAAUUGAAAUUUCUAUAAAAUUGCUAUCAAAGGUUGUUUUUCUAAUGAAUUCCCAGUCAGACCCUGCUUCUGUUACCUUUUCUGUGGUGGUGGUUUGGUCGCCAUGGGAAGGGUGUCCCUUCAUAGAAGAUGAUAUUAUGGCUUACCAAAAAAAUUAUCUUGUCCAAGAGUCAUGUUUUGCCUGAAUUUAUUGCAGUUUUGUUGGAGAAUGAAGCACAGAGGGGCUCUUCUCAUUGUUGGUAGGGAAGGGAGUAUGUGAGGACCUAUGCACCGCUGCAGCACAGGGUCAACCGGCCGUGGGACCAGAGGCUACAGAAGCAGGUGGGAUGACAGGGUUUUUCUGGCCUCUGCUGUCUCACAAAAGCUUCACUCAGCAAGGAAGCGUGGGGUGGAAGAAAAUGUCACACUGGGCUUCAUCCUGCACCCACCAAAGUCUGCUAUUGUGUUGAGUAAGAGCAGGAUCCAUACGCAAAGGGAUCUGUCACGGCUUAAAUGUCACCAGUCGUGUGGGAGCACUUCUCUCCAGCCAGCCCUUCUGAGGGAUCAUUGUGGGCAAUGAAAGGGCAGGAAAGACUUUUCCAGAGUGUGUGGGUGGGGGAAAAGCAACCCUUCAUGCUGGGAACUCAUCCGAUGUGCGGGUAACUCUGGAAUGUCCUUUCCAUGCAGUAGAGGGUUAGGCUGAGUGAGCUCUGCAGGUGGAAGGAGAUCAGCUGUGCUCAGCAGGCCUGCUCCCCAGGCUCAAAGAAGGCUGCAGCAGAGCAGGGUUGCCUCAUUCUCACCAUUAUGGAUGAACCACUCAAUACCUGCCACCUGCUUUCUGCAGGUAAUUAUUUAACAGGACGAAUAAUAAAAACUGAGAGAAUAAUCUGAAAGAAGGCCUGAGCUGCGUUCAAUUUGCAGUGCCAAUGAAAUAACUGUUUGUAAACAGGUACCCAGGAAUACUUGUAUUUUUUCUAAGUGCCUUUGGCCGCUGCUGUUCCUGCCAGUGCUUAAAAGCUCAGCUGCCUGGCUGGACCCAAGCUUGUAGGUACUGUGGAGACAUCGGCAUUAGAAGUUCACAUUUCCCAGGCUUCACCAUAAAAACAGACUUUCUGUCUCCUCAUUUCCACCAGAGCUCAUUCAGGAAACACAAUCUCCUUUUAAGUGCAUGAUCUUAAGCUUUGUAUAAUGAAAUAUCUUUAGGGUAUUUCUCCAGUAAUCGGCUCCUAUGAGACAUUCUGCUGCUCUUCCCAGCUGUGUGUCAUCAGCAAAUUUCAUUAAUGUGCUCCUUCUUCUUGUGUAAAUGUUGCUGGCUGGUGGGAUAUAUUUAGUUAAGACUGGCUAAGAGUGAUGCUUGAGAAACUGCCUGUAACCUUCCUCUACUCCGACAGUUCCCCUUUCAGCACCUAUUGUCUCUGCUUCAGCCAGAUCCUUUUGCUAAUAAUUCCCUGCGUGGCACCAUUUCAACUGCUUUGCUGAAAUCCAGUUAGAUGAGGUCCACCAAAACCAAUUACUAUGAAUUAAAGCAUUGCUUGAGCAAUGCUAAGAGUCUGCAAUAAAUUAUGUGCAAAACUGAUGGCCUAUUUCAUCAUGCUCAAUUUCAUCUUUAUUUUAACAUUCAUCAGAAAUAAAUACUUCAGUUAAGAUUAGAGCUUUGGGGCAUAGCUUUUAAUGUAAUGUUAUCAAAAUAAUUGAGGGUCUUAUGGGACAAAAUCUCAAAAUUAUCCUGGUUUCAAGCUUAGGAAAAAAUGGUGUAUAUUCAUUUCUGUUAUAAUCCAGAACAUAAACACUGUUUAUGUUCUCUUUUUCAUAUAGUUAAUUUAUCAGCUAAGCUGAUAAACCACAGAUAAAGCCUAAGGACACAAAUGUGGUGGUUUUUUUUAAUUCUCUAUAUCUCCCUUAUUUGCAUUGUUACUGCUCUGAGCAGACGCGAGAUCUUUAGCAUCAUGAUGAUAAAACAGCUCAUUCUUUGAUGUCAGAUAAGAUGAAAUUUAGAUGUCAUUCUGAAGCCAAGAAUCAUAAAAUCUGCUGUCAUAAUAUCUUCCUCUACACUUGAAAGGGCUAUGAGACAUCUGGAAAUGGAAGAAUCUUUUCUUUUACCCCAUUAAAAGUAUUGUU
Apus apus (common swift) is the source of this 3673-nucleotide long non-coding RNA. RefSeq lists it as uncharacterized. The record is from RefSeq and is a predicted model, not a curated record. The transcript has 3 exons. NCBI's taxonomy places the organism in Eukaryota, Metazoa, Chordata, Aves, Apodiformes, Apodidae.